ACAGAGUGGAAAAUUCGAAAAUGUGAAAGAUCAAUCAAAGAAAAAGGAGGCACGGUUCCUUCUUCCUCUUCUUCCUCUUCUUCUUCUUCUUCCUCUGCUUCCUUUUCUUCCC
RNAcentral lists this non-coding RNA (112 nucleotides) under Paramoeba aestuarina. The record is from RNAcentral. Lineage: Eukaryota; Discosea; Flabellinia; Dactylopodida; Paramoebidae.